AUCCUGCGGUUCACAAGCAUGAUGAUUGGGUGUUCAUGCUGUAUGAAUGAAAUGUGCCUUUCUCAAAUCUUGUUAUGACGUAGGCACAUUACCUGUCUGAUG
Small nucleolar RNA from Octodon degus (degu), 102 nucleotides. RefSeq annotates it as small nucleolar RNA U13. The transcript has a single exon. Lineage: Eukaryota; Metazoa; Chordata; Mammalia; Rodentia; Octodontidae. The record is from RefSeq and is a predicted model, not a curated record.